Molecule: transfer RNA, 85 nt
Filed under: Lentinula raphanica
Lineage: Eukaryota; Fungi; Basidiomycota; Agaricomycetes; Agaricales; Omphalotaceae
Description: tRNA-Trp
Rfam family: tRNA
About the family: Transfer RNA (tRNA) molecules are approximately 80 nucleotides in length. Their secondary structure includes four short double-helical elements and three loops (D, anti-codon, and T loops).
Source: RNAcentral
GACCCCGUAGCUCAGUGGUAGAGCGUGAGAUUCCAGCAAGCAUGGAAUUUCCUCAAGGUCAUCCGUUCAAUCCGGGUCGGGGUCA